This 382-nucleotide ribosomal RNA is filed under the name uncultured eukaryote. RNAcentral describes it as "partial 18S ribosomal RNA". It matches the Rfam family "Eukaryotic small subunit ribosomal RNA", at positions 592 to 976 of the family's 1831-position model. The record is from RNAcentral.
UGUAAGCGUAUACCAAAGUUGUUGCAGUUAAAACGCUCGUAGUCGGAAUUUGGCAGUUCCGGAUGUGUGCACGUCGUGUGCGCGCUUUGCGGGAAUUGCUUUUGUGGUCUUGCGUAGGAUGAGGCACUUUCAUUAGUGAACGUCCUCACGCAACCACUCUUUACUGUGAGAAAAUCAGAGUGCUCAAAGCAGGCAUUUGCCGUGAAUGUAUUAGCAUGGAAUAAUAGAAUAGGACUCGGUUCUAUUUUGUUGGUUUGUUGGGACUGAGUAAUGAUUAAGAGGGACAGUUGGGGGCAUUUGUAUUCCGGCGCUAGAGGUGAAAUUCUUAGAUUGCCGGAAGACAAACUGCUGCGAAAGCGUCUGCCAAGGAUGUUUUCAUUGA